Molecule: long non-coding RNA, 1265 nt
Organism: Centruroides sculpturatus (bark scorpion)
Lineage: Eukaryota; Metazoa; Arthropoda; Arachnida; Scorpiones; Buthidae
Exons: 3
Source: RefSeq, a predicted model, not a curated record
CAAACGCGCCUUACAUUUCAAAUUUAAAUCUUAUAAUGCCUUCUAUAAUCGCAAUUAAAAGAUGUCGCCAACCUUUAAACACGAUAGAAUUCUGCUUAUGGAACUGCACUGUUGGAAAUGAUCCUAGUGUGGAACUGUUCCGUCGAACCUGCACAACUUGCGGCCGCCGAAAAAUGUACAGGAUAUAAAAGGAAAUAAGGAUGUAACUAGUGCAUUAAUGUGAUUUUAUUAUAAAAAUCUUAAACAUAAAAUUAAAGCGAAAAACUGAAUUAGCUCUACGGGGAAACCACCGUGAACUUUAACCUAUCAACCUGGAAGUUUGACCAGAACCUCAUUGAUAACGAGAAAGUCUAAAAGUUUCAGCUUUCUAGACCCAGUAGUUUUUUCUCUACGAGCAUCUGCAGUGCCGGUGAAGAAAGAGGAGGAGGAGAAGAAAAUACAGCGGUUUUUUUCGGCGAGUUUUGCACUUUUCAGUUGCAUUUAUUUCGGCAACCGCUUUAUAGAAAAUCUUGAAAAUUUGCACACUAUCUAAGAAAACAAUUUUCUUUCGAACAAGAUAUUCGGAAUUACUUCAGGUGUUUUGGGGCCGGAGAAAUCGACCCCCGAAAAUCAGCAACUCUGAAUUCCUGUAUAUACUCGUAUAGUCAGUGACUUUUUUACUUGGCGGGGAGUCACUGCUGUUAUUGCUGAUCAUUAACUAUACUUUACUUGAAAAGUAAGUCAUUAAAAACCAAUCUUAGAAGUUUAGACUAUUUUAAUUUUGACCCUCUACCUAUUGUCAAUCAAGUUGUGCAGGUCUGGCUAGACGGUUCUGUCGGAAUUACCUAAUCUGUUGUACUAAACGGUUCCUCGUCGGUUUAUAUAUAUAUAUGCUGUAUAUAGAUAAUAAAAUGUUGUGUCUUUCUGUUCUUAGCUUUUUGGUCACUCUGCUCCAAAUUUUUCAUGCUUAUUAUCUGGGAAUCCAAGGAAAAUGUAUACUAUGAAACUGGACAGCCUACUUUUCCCGAUUUCAUCCCCCUUAUUAACUCUUAAACCUUUCGCCCGAUUUGCACCAAAUUUUUUAUACAUAUCCCUGGAACUUCGAGGAAAAUUAAAGAUUUCCAUUAAAUCUGGAUGCUCUUCUCCUGAGUUGAUAUCCUCGAUACUUUGUGAUAAACAGAACAAUGGUAAGCAAAAAGAACGAAACUUUUAAUAUGAUUUUCAUUUUAACGUUUAUCCCUUUACUUUUUGGCCGGGAAAUGCCGGACAUACAGUGGUGCCUCGUA